Non-coding RNA from Glycine soja, 66 nucleotides. Lineage: Eukaryota; Viridiplantae; Streptophyta; Magnoliopsida; Fabales; Fabaceae. The record is from Rfam.
AUGUUAACGAAGUGACUCCAACAUCGGUUUUCAAGAAAACCGAUGUUAUAGUCGAUUUGUUAACAU